Haliotis rubra (blacklip abalone) is the source of this 539-nucleotide long non-coding RNA. RefSeq lists it as uncharacterized. The transcript is spliced from 2 exons. NCBI's taxonomy places the organism in Eukaryota, Metazoa, Mollusca, Gastropoda, Lepetellida, Haliotidae. The record is from RefSeq and is a predicted model, not a curated record.
CAUCCAAUGAUCGAUAUAUUGAACAAUGAUCCAUUGGUGCACUAGCACAAGCUAGGGUCCAAGUCACAUAGCCUGACCACCCGGUUCAGUUAGCAUAUAUUGCUGACGGACUUUCUAACCUCAAAUCACCACGGGGUGACUUGAAAGGGUUGUUGAGGAACUUUCUAAAUGGGUAGACCAGCACAGGCUGCUGGGGACCUAUUCUAACCCGAAAAAUCCCAUAAGGUGACCAGCUGGUGUUUCUUGGGACCUAUUCUAACCCGGAAAUCCCAUAUUGUGGCCCUGUGGCUCACCCUAUGGGAUUUCCGAGUUAGAAUAGGUCCCCUGCUAAAACAACUGGUCACCCUAUGGGAUUUCCGGGUUAGUAUAGGGCCCCAGCAACAUCGAGGUCUCUUAACAGAAGAAAUACGGUAUUCGAUAAACGGUUUGUGUGCCAUGCAUUCAGAUGAUAUUUCAUCUAUAUGUGUACCACAUUUGAUCACUUUGAAAAGAACUUUUGAAUUAUUUGCAAACGUUUUAGUAAAGUAAAUUAAGCAUUA